AAGAAAAGGCUUUUUGAAACGCACCGUUUAAGUCUUUGAUCUUACAGGGAAGAACGCCAGAAGAUACCUCCAAAAGAGAGGAGGAGAAGGAUAGGUGACAAUGCUUAAGAAAGGAGAGGAAGAAGACGAGAAAAGAGAAGAAGCUAUAGCAUCAAACCCAUCUUUGCAGCCGAAUUUCAAGCCCAAACGUGUCACUCAAGACCAGCUUUCCAAGCUACAAGUAUGAGCUACACAAAAGGCGCUUACAAAUAAAAUCAAAGAUUCAUAAGAAAUCAAAAGAUGGUACUGGCAAAUCUCAUGGAAAAGACCUCAAAAGCAAAAAAUCUCAUGGAAAAGACCUCAAAAGCAAAGAUACGGGCACGAACAUUGAAGACUCAGGUGCUCCUGACUUGAAACCCCUUGAUGACAAUGCCAGUUUCUCUACUCCACAAGACAAUGUGUCGGCACAUCAUUCAGAAAAGAAACGCCAGAAAUUACACUGGGGGCUUGAUACAAAGGAAAGAUGGGAGAGAAAAGCCAAUAUGUAGACGUCACUGGUUGUUUGAGACGCAGGGCACUUGAUCUGAAGUUCGCCUCUCAAAAUAUUUGCAAAAGGCGCCUGAAGUUCCGUUCCUAUAUUGGAUUUCAUUUACAAGCAUCAUCAUACACAAGCUCUUAAUGAUGUAACGAGGAAUAUAUUUAGAAGGGCUGGCAAAUAAGGACUAGGUGACUUGGAAAAGAUGGAAUAGAAAGUGUUUGGUUUGAAUGUAAA
Molecule: RNA transcript, 751 nt
Organism: Populus trichocarpa (black cottonwood)
Lineage: Eukaryota; Viridiplantae; Streptophyta; Magnoliopsida; Malpighiales; Salicaceae
Exons: 4
Source: RefSeq, a predicted model, not a curated record